Molecule: ribosomal RNA, 253 nt
Filed under: uncultured bacterium
Lineage: Bacteria
Description: partial 16S ribosomal RNA
Rfam family: Bacterial small subunit ribosomal RNA
Source: RNAcentral
UACGGGGGGGGCAAGCGUUGUUCGGAAUUACUGGGCGUAAAGGGCUCGUAGGCGGCCAACUAAGUCAGACGUGAAAUCCCUCGGCUUAACCGGGGAACUGCGUCUGAUACUGGAUGGCUUGAGUGUGGGAGAGGCGCGUGGAAUUGCAGGUGUAGCGGUGAAAUGCGUAGAUAUCUGCAGGAACACCCGUGGCGAAGGCGGCAUCCUGGACCAAUAUUGACGCUGAGGAGCGAAAGCCAGGGGAGCAAACGGG